GCGGACGUGGUGCGCGGUGCACACAACUGCGAUUCAUACGGCAACCAGUUGUAGAUCGCAGCAGUUGAUGGGGUUCGAUUCCCCACGUCUGCA
Molecule: non-coding RNA, 93 nt
Organism: Mycena albidolilacea
Lineage: Eukaryota; Fungi; Basidiomycota; Agaricomycetes; Agaricales; Mycenaceae
Source: the annotation of a GenBank genome assembly